RNAcentral lists this small RNA (97 nucleotides) under Marmota monax (woodchuck). The record is from RNAcentral. Lineage: Eukaryota; Metazoa; Chordata; Mammalia; Rodentia; Sciuridae.
GCCGGGUUUGGUGGCACAGGCCUGUAAUCCUAGCACCUAGGGAGGCUGAGGCAGGAGGACCUCCAGUUCAAAGCAACUUAGCAAGACCCUGUCUCAA